GGGGGUAUAGCUCAGUGGUAUAGCUCAUGCUUAGCAUGCCUGAGGUCCUGGGUUCAAACCCCAGUACCUCCA
Molecule: transfer RNA, 72 nt
Filed under: Camelus bactrianus (Bactrian camel)
Lineage: Eukaryota; Metazoa; Chordata; Mammalia; Artiodactyla; Camelidae
Also listed under: 2 other names
Rfam family: tRNA
About the family: Transfer RNA (tRNA) molecules are approximately 80 nucleotides in length. Their secondary structure includes four short double-helical elements and three loops (D, anti-codon, and T loops). Further hydrogen bonds mediate the characteristic L-shaped molecular structure. tRNAs have two regions of fundamental functional importance: the anti-codon, which is responsible for specific mRNA codon recognition, and the 3' end, to which the tRNAs corresponding amino acid is attached (by aminoacyl-tRNA synthetases). tRNAs cope with the degeneracy of the genetic code in two manners: having more than one tRNA (with a specific anti-codon) for a particular amino acid; and 'wobble' base-pairing, i.e. permitting non-standard base-pairing at the 3rd anti-codon position.
Source: Rfam by way of RNAcentral